GGCGCCACGGCCGGGUCGGCGCGCGUGUUCUCGCCGCGCGAGAGCCGUUCGAUGCGGCUGUCGGUC
Molecule: transfer RNA, 66 nt
Filed under: Variovorax boronicumulans
Lineage: Bacteria; Pseudomonadati; Pseudomonadota; Betaproteobacteria; Burkholderiales; Comamonadaceae
Description: tRNA-Glu
Source: RNAcentral